UACGUAGGGUGCGAGCGUUGUCCGGAAUUAUUGGGCGUAAAGAGCUCGUAGGCGGUUUGUCGCGUCGACUGUGAAAACCCGAGGCUUAACCUCGGGCCUGCAGUCGAUACGGGCAGACUAGAGUUCGGUAGGGGAGACUGGAAUUCCUGGUGUAGCGGUGAAAUGCGCAGAUAUCAGGAGGAACACCGGUGGCGAAGGCGGGUCUCUGGGCCGAUACUGACGCUGAGGAGCGAAAGCGUGGGGAGCGAAUAGG
Molecule: ribosomal RNA, 253 nt
Filed under: uncultured bacterium
Lineage: Bacteria
Description: partial 16S ribosomal RNA
Rfam family: Bacterial small subunit ribosomal RNA
Source: RNAcentral